GGCCUCGUCGCCAAGUGGUAAGGCAACGGUUUGCAAAACCGUUAUUCCCCGGUUCGAAUCCGGGCGAGGCCU
This 72-nucleotide transfer RNA is filed under the name Planctomycetaceae bacterium. Its description in RNAcentral is "tRNA-Cys". It matches the Rfam family "tRNA". Rfam says of the family: Transfer RNA (tRNA) molecules are approximately 80 nucleotides in length. Their secondary structure includes four short double-helical elements and three loops (D, anti-codon, and T loops). The record is from RNAcentral. RNAcentral also lists the same sequence under 3 other names. Lineage: Bacteria; Pseudomonadati; Planctomycetota; Planctomycetia; Planctomycetales; Planctomycetaceae.